GGCCACCUCACAUUGAAACACCAGUUCCCAUAUAAUCACUGAAGUUUCGCAAUGCAGAAUCAGGUUAGUACCUAGAUGGGUGACUAUUUGGGAAUACCAGGUGCUGUAA
Molecule: non-coding RNA, 109 nt
Organism: Acanthosepion pharaonis
Lineage: Eukaryota; Metazoa; Mollusca; Cephalopoda; Sepiida; Sepiidae
Source: the annotation of a GenBank genome assembly